GAUUGAACGCUGGCGGCAGGCCUAACACAUGCAAGUCGAGCGGUAGCACAGGGAGCUUGCUCCUGGGUGACGAGCGGCGGACGGGUGAGUAAUGUCUGGGAAACUGCCCGAUGGAGGGGGAUAACUACUGGAAACGGUAGCUAAUACCGCAUAACGUCUUCGGACCAAAGUGGGGGACCUUCGGGCCUCACACCAUCGGAUGUGCCCAGAUGGGAUUAGCUAGUAGGUGAGGUAAUGGCUCACCUAGGCGACGAUCCCUAGCUGGUCUGAGAGGAUGACCAGCCACACUGGAACUGAGACACGGUCCAGACUCCUACGGGAGGCAGCAGUGGGGAAUAUUGCACAAUGGGCGCAAGCCUGAUGCAGCCAUGCCGCGUGUGUGAAGAAGGCCUUCGGGUUGUAAAGCACUUUCAGCGAGGAGGAAGGGUUCAGUGUUAAUAGCACUGWWCAUUGACGUUACUCGCAGAAGAAGCACCGGCUAACUCC
RNAcentral lists this ribosomal RNA (486 nucleotides) under Serratia fonticola. RNAcentral's name for it is "bacterial SSU rRNA". It matches the Rfam family "Bacterial small subunit ribosomal RNA", at positions 27 to 504 of the family's 1533-position model. Lineage: Bacteria; Pseudomonadati; Pseudomonadota; Gammaproteobacteria; Enterobacterales; Yersiniaceae. The record is from RNAcentral.